UGGAUCCAGACUUUGAUCAUGGCUCAGGAUGAACGCUGGCGGCAUGCCUAAGACAUGCAAGUCGAACGAGAUGGCCUUUUGAAAACUGCGUGCUUGCACAAAGUUGGAAAGAGAUUCUCCAUCUAGUGGCAGACGGGUGAGUAAUACAUAAGUAAUCUACCUUAAAGACUGGGAUAACGUUUGGAAACGGACGCUAAUACCGGAUGAUUCUUCUUACACAAGUAAGAAAGCUAAAAGGAGCGUUUGCUUCACUUUAAGAUGAGCUUAUGGCGUAUUAACUAGUUGGUGGGGUAAUGGCCUACCAAGGUGACGAUGCGUAGCCGAACUGAGAGGUUGAUCGGCCACAUUGGGACUGAGACACGGCCCAAACUCCUACGGGAGGCAGCAGUUAGGAAUAUUCGUCAAUGGGGGAAACCCUGAACGAGCAAUGCCGCGUGAGUGAUGACGGUCUUUAUGAUUGUAAAACUCUGUUGUAAGGAAAGAACCCUUAUCAUAGGAAAUGAUGAUAAGCUGACGGUACCUUACCAGAAAGCCCCGGCUAACUACGUGCCAGCAGCCGCGGUAAUACGUAGGGGGCGAGCGUUAUCCGGAUUUAUUGGGCGUAAAGCGUGUGUAGGCGGUUUGUUAAGUCUAAAAUAAAAGCCUGAGGCUUAACCUCAGUUCGUUUUAGAAACUGGCAGACUUGAGUGUGGUAGAGGCAAGUGGAAUUUCUAGUGUAGCGGUUAGAUGCGUAGAUAUUAGAAGGAACACCAGUGGCGAAGGCGGCUUGCUGGGCCAUUACUGACGCUGAGACACGAAAGCGUGGGGAGCAAAUAGGAUUAGAUACCCUAGUAGUCCACGCCGUAAACGAUGAGUACUAAGUGUCGGGAAACCGGUGCUGAAGUUAACACAUUAAGUACUCCGCCUGAGUAGUACGGUCGCAAGGCUGCAACUCAAAGGAAUUGACGGA
Molecule: ribosomal RNA, 949 nt
Filed under: uncultured Bacillota bacterium
Lineage: Bacteria; Bacillati; Bacillota
Description: bacterial SSU rRNA
Rfam family: Bacterial small subunit ribosomal RNA
Source: RNAcentral